Rosa rugosa (rugosa rose) is the source of this 708-nucleotide long non-coding RNA. RefSeq lists it as uncharacterized. NCBI's taxonomy places the organism in Eukaryota, Viridiplantae, Streptophyta, Magnoliopsida, Rosales, Rosaceae. The record is from RefSeq and is a predicted model, not a curated record. The transcript is spliced from 3 exons.
GUUGGAGUAGCUUAGUCAGGCAACUGAGCAUCUUAUCUAAUUAUGUAUAUAUUGUAGAUGAGAAUCGCACCAGGCUACUUGUACUGCUCAUAUUGAAGCUUGAUGCAUUCAGAAUGGCAUCAGACUAUCAGAGUUUGAAAAUCUUUUGGUUAAUCACAUGGGCCGAUGAUGGAGCUGAGUCAAGAGCAUCUCUUCCAAGCGUCUGGACUUUAUUAGAGUUAUUGGGAAGAGGAUGGGGCAAAUGAGCAUGCAUCCAAUACUUGAUCGGAAGUCAAACUGCUAUUCGUCAAGUUCCCCAACUCUGAAAUUCACCCUCUCAGUCUACUUCACAAGUUUCCUGAACCAGCUCUGAGUAGAGAGGGUCUUGGGGAAGGAUGGAAAGGGUUUGUGUACUCUUUGCAAGAGGUUUAUGACAAGAAUGGUGCUUUGGAGAAGAUUCGGAGCUUGAAUGGUCACGAUGAUGGCAACUCGAUUUACGAAUCUGUUGUGUUGUUCCACAGCAGAGGUGAGGAAAGAGACGGAUGCCUAGUCGGAGAGAAGAUUUGCUCAGUUUAGGUAGGCAGUCUGAGUUUGGUAACUAGUUGCAUUAUGACUAGUGAGUAGUUGUAAUCACCUAUUGAUUUACUGUCAUUUUGAUCGACAUUUUAUGUAAUUACUCAGUAUUCAGUAUUCUACUUAUCAGGCUUUUGCAUGAAAUUACGUACUCAU